UACAGAGGUGGCGAGCGUUGUUCGGAUUUACUGGGCGUAAAGCGUGCGUAGGUGGUUUCGUGUGUCGGAUGUGAAAGCCCACUGCUCAGUGGUGGAAAUGCAUUCGAAACUGCGGGACUAGAGCGCAGGGGGGGAGAGCGGAAUUCUUGGUGUAGCGGUGAAAUGCGUUGAUAUCAAGAAGAACACCGGUGGCGAAGGCGGCUCUCUGGAAUGUUGCUGACACUGAGGCACGAAAGCUGGGGGAGCGAACAGG
Molecule: unclassified non-coding RNA, 253 nt
Filed under: uncultured bacterium
Lineage: Bacteria
Description: contains 16S-23S intergenic spacer region
Rfam family: Bacterial small subunit ribosomal RNA
Source: RNAcentral